This 783-nucleotide ribosomal RNA is filed under the name uncultured Neocallimastigales. RNAcentral's name for it is "partial large subunit ribosomal RNA". It matches the Rfam family "Eukaryotic large subunit ribosomal RNA", at positions 26 to 639 of the family's 3401-position model. The record is from RNAcentral. Lineage: Eukaryota; Fungi; Neocallimastigomycota; Neocallimastigomycetes; Neocallimastigales.
CGUCUAUAUACGUAUAGCAUAUCAAUAAGCGGAGGAAAAGAAACUAACAAGGAUUCCCCUAGUAACGGCGAGUGAAGCGGGAAGAGCUCAAAUUUGAAAUCUUCAAGGGUUUCCCUUGACGAAUUGUAGUUUAAAGAAGUGUUUUCGGUUAGAGGAGUAGUAAAAGUUCUUUGGAAUAGGACAUCAUAGAGGGUGAGAAUCCCGUAUUUGACCGUUAUCUUUCUAGCUGUGUGAUACACUUUCAAAGAGUCGGAUUGUUUGGGAAUAGCAGUCCAAAAUGGGUGGUAAAUUUCAUCUAAAGCUAAAUAUUGGCGAGAGAUCCGAUAGCGAACAAGUACCGUGAGGGAAAGAUGAAAAGAACUUUGAAAAGAGAGUUAAACAGUACGUGAAAUUGUCAAAAGGGAAGCGUUUGACACCAGUGUUGUUUUUCCGAAAAUCAAUUACGAAUGUUUUGUUUUUGAGGAGUUAUGACUUCAUCGGCUUGCUUCUCUCUUUACGAAACUUUCUUAAUGCACUUUUCGGUUAACAAGUCAACAUCAAUUUCUUUUGUUGUAAAAGGGUAUGAGGAAGGUGGCUUUCUUUUCGGAGAAAGUGUUUAUAGCCUUGUAGCCUCUGCAAUCGGAGAGAUUGAGGUCUGCAGCGUAGAUCCUUCGGGGUUAGAUACAGUUUGUGCUAAGUUAUAGCUUUGUCAUAGACAACUUGUUGACUAUGUUAGUCAUUGUAGCUUACUCGCAUUAUAGCUAUUUUACCUACGCUUAGGAUGUUGACGCGCGUGUGUGCGUG